UUAUGUGAUCGUCUCUCGCAUAUCAAUAAGCGGAGGAAAAGAAACUAACAAGGAUUCCCCUAGUAACGGCGAGUGAAGCGGGAAGAGCUCAAAUUUGAAAUCUUAAAGGGUUUCCCUUUACGAAUUGUAGUUUAAAGAAGUGUUUUCUGUUGAGGUUUUGGUAAAAGUUCUUUGGAAUAGGACAUCAUAGAGGGUGAGAAUCCCGUAUUUGACCUUUACUUUCAACUUUGUGAUACACUUUCAAAGAGUCGGAUUGUUUGGGAAUGCAGUCCAAAAUGGGUGGUAAAUUUCAUCUAAAGCUAAAUAUUGGCGAGAGACCGAUAGCGAACAAGUACCGUGAGGGAAAGAUGAAAAGAACUUUGAAAAGAGAGUUAAACAGUACGUGAAAUUGUCAAAAGGGAAGCGUUUGACACCAGUGUUGUUUUUCUGAAAAUCAAUUAAAGAACUGUUUAUGCUAAGCUGUUUAGACUUUAUCAGCUAACUGUUUAGUUUUGAGCUUUUCUUUAAUGCACUUUCCAGUUAACAAGUCAACAUCAAUUUCUUUUGCUGUAAAAAAGCUUGAGGAAGGUGGCUUGAGAUUCGUCUUAAGUGUUUAUAGCCUCUUGCCUAUGCAGUCGGAGAGAUUGAGGUCUGCAGCGUAGAUCCUUCGGGGCUAAAUGCAUUUGUGCUAAGUUAUAGCAUUUUAUAGACAACUUGUUGACUAUGAUUUGUCUUGUAGCUUACUCGCUUAUGUUAUUUUACCUACGCUUAGGAUGUUGACACACGCGCGUGCUCG
RNAcentral lists this ribosomal RNA (775 nucleotides) under uncultured Neocallimastigales. RNAcentral describes it as "partial large subunit ribosomal RNA". It matches the Rfam family "Eukaryotic large subunit ribosomal RNA", at positions 24 to 643 of the family's 3401-position model. Lineage: Eukaryota; Fungi; Neocallimastigomycota; Neocallimastigomycetes; Neocallimastigales. The record is from RNAcentral.